GGAGCGGUGGCAGAGUCUGGUCGAUCGCAACUGCCUUGAAAGCAGUCGACGGUUCACACCGUCCGGGGGUUCGAAUCCCUCCCGCUCCG
Molecule: transfer RNA, 89 nt
Filed under: Nocardiopsaceae bacterium
Lineage: Bacteria; Bacillati; Actinomycetota; Actinomycetes; Streptosporangiales; Nocardiopsidaceae
Description: tRNA-Ser
Rfam family: tRNA
About the family: Transfer RNA (tRNA) molecules are approximately 80 nucleotides in length. Their secondary structure includes four short double-helical elements and three loops (D, anti-codon, and T loops).
Source: RNAcentral